Molecule: long non-coding RNA, 196 nt
Organism: Equus quagga
Lineage: Eukaryota; Metazoa; Chordata; Mammalia; Perissodactyla; Equidae
Exons: 3
Source: RefSeq, a predicted model, not a curated record
GCUGCCUGCAGCAGAGCGCGCAAACUUAACCACUCGGCCACGGGGCCAGCCCCAUUAUGAGGCCUGAGAGGAAGACUCUGGCCAGUUUCUUCUGAAGACUACUGCACUCUGAGGCCUCAUUCACUGGCUUCUUUGGAUCCCUGGCUGCUAAGCCAAUUUUCAGACAAAGCUACCUUGGAAAGAGCCAAGGAAAAAG